UGGGGAAUUUUCCGCAAUGGGCGAAAGCCUGACGGAGCAAUGCCGCGUGGGUGAAGAAGGCCUUCGGGUUGUAAAGCCCUUUCAGCAGGGAAGAAAAGCUCGGGGAUAAUACCCCCGGGUGCUGACGGUACCUGCAGAAGAAGCACCGGCUAACUCCGUGCCAGCAGCCGCGGUAAUACGGAGGGUGCAAGCGUUAAUCGGAAUUACUGGGCGUAAAGGGCGCGUAGGCGGCUGUUUAAGUCGGGUGUGAAAGCCCCGGGCUCAACCUGGGAAUUGCAUUCGAUACUGGACGGCUGGAGUGUAGUAGAGGGAAGCGGAAUUCCGGGUGUAGCGGUGAAAUGCGUAGAUAUCCGGAGGAACAUCAGUGGCGAAGGCGGCUUCCUGGACUAACACUGACGCUGAGGCGCGAAAGCGUGGGGAGCAAACAGGAUUAGAUACCCGUGUAGUCC
RNAcentral lists this ribosomal RNA (449 nucleotides) under uncultured prokaryote. RNAcentral describes it as "bacterial SSU rRNA". It matches the Rfam family "Bacterial small subunit ribosomal RNA", at positions 355 to 796 of the family's 1533-position model. The record is from RNAcentral.